This 252-nucleotide ribosomal RNA is filed under the name uncultured bacterium. RNAcentral's name for it is "partial 16S ribosomal RNA". It matches the Rfam family "Bacterial small subunit ribosomal RNA", at positions 524 to 776 of the family's 1533-position model. RNAcentral also lists the same sequence under 1 other name. The record is from RNAcentral.
UACGUAGGGGGCAAGCGUUGUCCGGAAUUAUUGGGCGUAAAGCGCGCGCAGGCGGCCGUUUAAGUCUGAUGUUUAAGCCCGGGGCUCAACCCCGGAUCGCAUUGGAAACUGGGUGGCUGGAGUGCAGAAGAGGAGAGUGGAAUUCCACGUGUAGCGGUGAAAUGCGUAGAGAUGUGGAGGAACACCAGUGGCGAAGGCGACUCUCUGGGCUGUAACUGACGCUGAGGCGCGAAAGCGUGGGGAGCAAACAGG